GAGUUUGAUCCUGGCUCAGAUUGAACGCUGGCGGCAUGCCUCACACAUGCAAGUCGAACGGCAGCACGGGAGCUUGCUCCUGGGUGGCGAGUGGCGAACGGGUGAGUAAUGCAUCGGAACGUAUCCUGGAGUGGGGGAUAACGUAGCGAAAGUUACGCUAAUACCGCAUAUUCUGUGAGCAGGAAAGCGGGGGACCUUCGGGCCUCGCGCUCUUGGAGCGGCCGAUGUCGGAUUAGCUAGUUGGUGAGGUAAAGGCUCACCAAGGCGACGAUCCGUAGCAGGUCUGAGAGGAUGAUCUGCCACACUGGAACUGAGACACGGUCCAGACUCCUACGGGAGGCAGCAGUGGGGAAUUUUGGACAAUGGGGGCAACCCUGAUCCAGCCAUGCCGCGUGAGUGAAGAAGGCC
RNAcentral lists this ribosomal RNA (408 nucleotides) under bacterium enrichment culture clone ALO1_GLFRUDD03F1XNI. RNAcentral's name for it is "bacterial SSU rRNA". It matches the Rfam family "Bacterial small subunit ribosomal RNA", at positions 9 to 416 of the family's 1533-position model. The record is from RNAcentral.